This 497-nucleotide ribosomal RNA is filed under the name uncultured bacterium. RNAcentral describes it as "partial 16S ribosomal RNA". It matches the Rfam family "Bacterial small subunit ribosomal RNA", at positions 28 to 507 of the family's 1533-position model. The record is from RNAcentral.
GAUGAACGCUGGCGGCGUGCCUAAUACAUGCAAGUCGAGCGAACGGACGAGAAGCUUGCUUCUCUGAUGUUAGCGGCGGGCGGGUGAGUAACACGUGGAUAACCUACCUAUAAGACUGGGAUAACUUCGGGAAACCGGAGCUAAUACCGGAUAAUAUUUUGAACCGCAUGGUUCAAAAGUGAAAGACGGUCUUGCUGUCACUUAUAGAUGGAUCCGCGCUGCAUUAGCUAGUUGGUAAGGUAACGGCUUACCAAGGCAACGAUGCAUAGCCGACCUGAGAGGGUGAUCGGCCACACUGGAACUGAGACACGGUCCAGACUCCUACGGGAGGCAGCAGUAGGGAAUCUUCCGCAAUGGGCGAAAGCCUGACGGAGCAACGCCGCGUGAGUGAUGAAGGUCUUCGGAUCGUAAAACUAUGUUAUUAGGGAAGAACAUAUGUGUAAGUAACUGUGAACAUCUUGACGGUACCUAAUCAGAAAGCCACGGCUAACUACGUG